CUUAAGUCUGAUGUGAAAGCCCCCGGCUCAACCUGGGAGCUGCAUUGGAUACUGGGCGACUAGAAUGCGGAAGAGGAUAGUGGAAUUCCCGGGGUAGCAGUGAAAUGCGUAGAGAUGUGGAGGAACACCCGUGGCGAAGGCGACUCUCUGGUCUGUCACUGACACUGAGGAGCGAAAGCGUGGGGAGCGAACAGGAUUAGAUACCCUGGUAGUCCACGCCCUAAACGAUGAGUACUGGAUGUUGGGUGCUAUCCGCCCCUUAGUACCGCAGCUAACGCGUUAAGCUCUCCGCCUGGGGAGUACGGUCGCAAGACUGAAACUCAAAGGAAUUGACGGGGGCCCGCACAAGCGGUGGAGCAUGUGGUUUAAUUCGAUGCAACGCGAAGAACCUUACCUGGUCUUGACA
Molecule: ribosomal RNA, 406 nt
Filed under: Stenotrophomonas maltophilia
Lineage: Bacteria; Pseudomonadati; Pseudomonadota; Gammaproteobacteria; Lysobacterales; Lysobacteraceae
Description: bacterial SSU rRNA
Rfam family: Bacterial small subunit ribosomal RNA
Source: RNAcentral